This 429-nucleotide ribosomal RNA is filed under the name Acidobacteriota bacterium. Its description in RNAcentral is "Acidobacteria bacterium partial 16S ribosomal RNA". It matches the Rfam family "Bacterial small subunit ribosomal RNA", at positions 355 to 776 of the family's 1533-position model. The record is from RNAcentral. Lineage: Bacteria; Pseudomonadati; Acidobacteriota.
UGGGGAAUUUUGGACAAUGGGGGAAACCCUGAUCCAGCCAUCCCGCGUGUGCGAUGAAGGCCUUCGGGUUGUAAAGCACUUUUGGCAGGAAAGAAACGUCAUGGGUUAAUACCCCGUGAAACUGACGGUACCUGCAGAAUAAGCACCGGCUAACUACGUGCCAGUAGCCGCGGUAAUACGUAGGGUGCAAGCGUUAAUCGGAAUUACUGGGCGUAAAGCGUGCGCAGGCGGUUCGGAAAGAAAGAUGUGAAAUCCCAGAGCUCAACUUUGGAACUGCAUUUUUAACUACCGGGCUAGAGUGUGUCAGAGGGAGGUGGAAUUCCGCGUGUAGCAGUGAAAUGCGUAGAUAUGCGGAGGAACACCGAUGGCGAAGGCAGCCUCCUGGGAUAACACUGACGCACAUGCACGAAAGCGUGGGGAGCAAACAGG